This 186-nucleotide non-coding RNA is filed under the name Phycisphaerae bacterium. RNAcentral describes it as "6S RNA". It matches the Rfam family "6S / SsrS RNA". Rfam says of the family: E. coli 6S RNA was the first non coding RNA to be sequenced, but its function was unknown until recently. It consists of 184 nucleotides that fold into an extended hairpin structure with a large single-stranded internal bulge. The record is from RNAcentral. Lineage: Bacteria; Pseudomonadati; Planctomycetota; Phycisphaerae.
AGGGAUCUGCCAUGUUCGACACGAGAGGAGCAUUUUUUGAACCGUGAUGCAGAACCCGGGGAGAUCACGCAAGCCGCAGACUGACGAAUCCGCCCCACGAGCGGGAGGUCAUGAAACGGCCGUGUCGCCCACCUUUAUGACAAGGGUUCAAACAAUACCUCUCACCGGCAUUGCGGUGGAGACCUU